Molecule: ribosomal RNA, 253 nt
Filed under: uncultured bacterium
Lineage: Bacteria
Description: partial 16S ribosomal RNA
Rfam family: Bacterial small subunit ribosomal RNA
Source: RNAcentral
UACGAGGGGGGCGAGCGUUGUCCGGAUUUACUGGGCGUAAAGGAUGCGUAGGCGGACAUUUAAGUCAGAUGUGAAAUACCCGAGCUUAACUUGGGUGCUGCAUUUGAAACUGGGUGUCUAGAGUGCAGGAGAGGUAAGUGGAAUUCCUAGUGUAGCGGUGAAAUGCGUAGAGAUUAGGAAGAACGCCAGUGGCGAAGGCGACUUACUGGACUGUAACUGACGCUGAGGCAUGAAAGCGUGGGGAGCAAACAGG